RNAcentral lists this ribosomal RNA (783 nucleotides) under Triticum aestivum (bread wheat). RNAcentral's name for it is "partial small subunit ribosomal RNA". The record is from RNAcentral. Lineage: Eukaryota; Viridiplantae; Streptophyta; Magnoliopsida; Poales; Poaceae.
AUGGCGGCGGCGCAGAAGCCGGCGAAGCGGCUCGGUGGCAUGGCGGAGGCGCUCGCCAUCGCCGGGGACCUCGGCUUCCCGGCCCCUCCCGCGCAGGAAGAUCAGAACACCGACAAAAGUGAUGACCUGGUGAGGGUAUUAAGGGAGCUGACGGUCGUGCAGCGGAACAUUGCCAAUUUGCAAGUCGAGCUACAAGGCAGAAAGGAUGAUAAAAACAUUGCUCAUUUGACUCAUGUUAGUGAAAUGGAAAAGAAGUGUGAAUCGUUGGCCAGAAUUACUGCUAUUUUGAAAGAUGUUAUUCAAAACAAGGACCGCAUUAUUGCCCGUCUGCAGCAACCUUAUUCGCUUGAUUGCAUUCCUGUUGAAGCUGAAUACCAGAAACAAUUCUCGGAGCUGCUUCUGAAAGCGGCAAGUGACUAUGGGGCAUUGACAGCAUCAGUUGGAGAUUUCCAGUGGAGUCAAAACUUCAGAGAGUCGCCUGCUGUAUGGGGUGAAAUGCUACGACCGAUACCUGCUGCGCUUGCAUCCUGCACCCGGUUCUUCGAGGCCAUGUCUGCGAUGAGGGAAUCCUUUUCUACUCUUCAAACACUACGUGUUGGUCCUUCUCUGUCAAUGACCCCAGGUGGCUCCAGUGAUGAUUCAAAGUUCUUGACGCCACCUCAGUGGAGAGAGGGCUCGAUGCUCAAUAGCUGGAACCAAGUGGACGACGUAAACCCUGAAAGUGAUGGACUCGACAGUGUCAACCAGAGGAGGCUAUCAUGGCCAUCCUCUUGGACGACGUAA